Long non-coding RNA from Oncorhynchus tshawytscha (Chinook salmon), 367 nucleotides. Lineage: Eukaryota; Metazoa; Chordata; Actinopteri; Salmoniformes; Salmonidae. The record is from Ensembl.
CAGGGAGGUACUGGUACAGAGUCAAUGUGGAGGCUAUAUACAGGGAGGUACCGGUACAGAGUCAAUGUGGAGGCUAUAUACAGGGAGGUACCGGUACAGAGUCAAUGUGGAGGCUAUAUACAGGGAGGUACUGGUACAGAGUCAAUGUGGAGGCUAUAUACAGGGAGGUACUGGUACAGAGUCAAUGUGGAGGCUAUAUACAGGGAGGUACCGGUACAGAGUCAAUGUGGAGGCUAUAUACAGGGAGGUACCGGUACAGAGUCAAUGUGGAGGCUAUAUACAGGGAGGUACCGGUACAGAGUCAAUGUGGAGGCUAUAUACAGGGGGUACCGGUACAGAGUCAAUGUGGAGGCUAUAUACAGGGAGG